This 475-nucleotide ribosomal RNA is filed under the name uncultured bacterium. RNAcentral's name for it is "bacterial SSU rRNA". It matches the Rfam family "Bacterial small subunit ribosomal RNA", at positions 15 to 507 of the family's 1533-position model. The record is from RNAcentral.
GAUCAUGGCUCAGGACGAACGCUGGCGGCGCGCUUAAUACAUGCAAGUCGAACGAGAAGCCAGAGCUUGCUCUGGUGGAAAGUGGCGAACGGGUGAGUAACACGUGAGAAACCUGCCCCAAAGAUUGGGAUAAGCCUUGGAAACGAGGUCUAAUACCAAAUACCUUCUUUUAACACAUGUUAAAAGAAGAAAUGCUCCGGCGCUUUGGGAUGGUCUCGCGAUCUAUCAGCUUGUUGGUGAGGUAACGGCUCACCAAGGCAUCGACGGAUAGCUGGUCUGAGAGGAUGUCCAGCCACAUUGGAACUGAGACACGGUCCAAACUCCUACGGGAGGCAGCAGUAGGGGAAUCUUGCACAAUGAGGGAAACCUUGAUGCAGCGACGCCGCGUGCGGGACGAAGGCCCUAGGGUUGUAAACCGCUUUCAGUAGGGACGAAAGUGACGGUACCUACAGAAGAAGCCCCGGCCAACUAUGUG